GACAAACCACAGCACAGCCACUUUCUCUCUCUGUGUUUCAGUUUUCCUCUUAGCAGAAGGGAUAAUAAAAUUACCCAGCACUCAGGAAUGUAGCUUUAAUUCAUUAAUAUCUAUAAGUAGCUUACAGCUCCUCAGCCAUAGGGAGCUCUGGGAAUGCUAGUGGAAAUGCUUUGCAUCUUGUUGCUGUACUUCAACUUUCCAAAUUUCCCUAUUGCAUCCACUGAUUCCAAUAAUUUGAGCUCUGGAUUUUCUGACUUGGCAAAUUCGAAUCAGCUUUUCUCAAUGAUUCUGUGAGUGAAAAGGUGCUCUUUGUCAGAGAGAGGAAAUGGGGAGCAGCACUAGGCUCUCUGUAUGCUGGGUGAGUCAGCCACAGUUUGUGCACCUGCUGUGACUUACAGACUGAAUGCAUGGACUGCACUCCGAGAUGCUGGUGUUGCAAACAGAUGGAUUUUGUAAAUCCUGUUAAUGUUUCUAUGUGUAAGAGCUUCCCAGCAGAAAAGGAUCAUGUCCACCUGCCCAUGGGAGAAUAUCUUUUAAUCUGAGAUGGAAUAAUGGCCUUAGGCUUGAGGACCAAAUCUGGAAUGGGAAUUCAGACUGCACACGUCCUGGUAGGUUUCUGGUCGUGACAGAUGAGACAUGAGAUCUUCAGCAUCCAGGCUUUCAAGUUUUUCUUCAAGAGAUUCACUAUGGAAUCGGAGCUGAAGAUUUUUGACAUCUUUCCUGACGCCCUUUCCAAUUUUCUGAGAUCAGCAUUGCUUUAACAAAAAUCCUUAGA
This is a non-coding RNA of Lonchura striata (white-rumped munia), 775 nucleotides long. Lineage: Eukaryota; Metazoa; Chordata; Aves; Passeriformes; Estrildidae. The record is from RefSeq and is a predicted model, not a curated record.